RNAcentral lists this transfer RNA (86 nucleotides) under Kiritimatiellia bacterium. RNAcentral describes it as "Kiritimatiellae bacterium (gut metagenome) tRNA-Leu". It matches the Rfam family "tRNA". Rfam says of the family: Transfer RNA (tRNA) molecules are approximately 80 nucleotides in length. Their secondary structure includes four short double-helical elements and three loops (D, anti-codon, and T loops). The record is from RNAcentral. Lineage: Bacteria; Pseudomonadati; Kiritimatiellota; Kiritimatiellia.
GCCAGGGUGGCGUAAUGGCAGCCGCGACAGACUCAAAAUCUGUUGUACGAGAGUGCGUGCGGGUUCGAGUCCCGCUCCUGGCACCA